AAAUCUGUUGGAAAACAUUCUCCAAAUCUAUUUUGGUACACUAACGUUAAUCUAUUCUAUUUUAUUAAGCAUAUUGUUUAAUUUCAUAUUUCAAAUUAUUCUAUUUUAUUAAGCAUUUCUUGAAAUGUAAGAGGUACAAAAAAUAAAAAAUUAAGUACAAUCGCUUAUUGCUAAUCUCCCCAAUAUGACUAAUAAUUAAUCCUUGUCAAAAAAUAAGAAAAAAAUAACAUGAAAAGAAGAUCAGAAGUUAAUUUGGAAUCCCGUAUUCCCCUCAAUGAUGGUUAAUUUCAUAUUUCAAAUUAACCACAAUUAUCUCCCUCCAUUACUCAGUUUUUCGUCUAUAAAUAAUAUACCCAUCUUUUCUUGCAUAGUCACCUCCAUCUCCAGAAUUGCACAAAAUUUGCAGAGAUAACAAUGGCUUCAAAGUCGACAUACCAUACAUGUCGUUUGCAAAGAGAUGUCGAAAGAAUGACCAUUAAUGGUUGAUACGGUUUCAUGUAGAAGAAUUAAUCUACUCUAAGAGUAAAAGCAACAUUUUCUCAUCCACAACCAUUGUAACCGCGUCAAAUGUCACCAGAAAGAUUGGUGUUGGUUGGAUGGUAUUUUCCAUUGGUAUUUACCAAAGGUAUCUCAACUCCUGCUACUAGACAUCUUUAUGUCUAAACAAAACCUAAGAUGUAAGUGAAUUUAUACUAAAUAUUUUAGAUUUUCUUUUAUCAAUUUAAUUAGUUUAUUAAAUCUUUUGAUCUUAUUUCAAGAAGCUUUUACUCUAAGGUGGUGACCAAGUUGUAUAUAUAGAUAAUGUAUAGGUUUAGAUGGAAUUUAUGCAAUGAAUUGAAUUUUUUCUCAAA
Molecule: non-coding RNA, 851 nt
Organism: Lactuca sativa (garden lettuce)
Lineage: Eukaryota; Viridiplantae; Streptophyta; Magnoliopsida; Asterales; Asteraceae
Source: RefSeq, a predicted model, not a curated record